UGAGGAAUAUUGCACAAUGGGCGCAAGCCUGAUGCAGCAAUGCCGCGUGCGGGAGGACGUCCUUCGGGAUGUAAACCGCUUUUCUGCGGGAAGAGCAAGGACGGUACCGCAGGAAUCAGUCACGGCUAACUACGUGCCAGCAGCCGCGGUAAUACGUAGGUGGCGAACGUUAUCCGGAAUUACUGGGCGUAAAGGGUCCGCAGGCGGCGGGUCAAGUCGGAUGUGAAAGCGCGCGGCUCAACCGCGCGAGGCCAUUCGAAACUGGCGCGCUGGAAUCUGACAGAGGUCGGUGGAAUUCCCGGUGUAGUGGUGGAAUGCGUAGAGAUCGGGAGGAACGCCAAAGGCGCAGGCAGCCGACUGGGUCAAGAUUGACGCUGAGGGACGAAAGCGUGGGGAGCGAACAGGAUUAGAUACCCCCGUAGUCC
This 425-nucleotide ribosomal RNA is filed under the name uncultured prokaryote. Its description in RNAcentral is "bacterial SSU rRNA". It matches the Rfam family "Bacterial small subunit ribosomal RNA", at positions 355 to 796 of the family's 1533-position model. The record is from RNAcentral.